UCGUUCUCCUAAAUGCAAAAA
Molecule: non-coding RNA, 21 nt
Filed under: Caenorhabditis elegans
Lineage: Eukaryota; Metazoa; Nematoda; Chromadorea; Rhabditida; Rhabditidae
Source: RNAcentral